Molecule: long non-coding RNA, 745 nt
Filed under: Phoenix dactylifera (date palm)
Lineage: Eukaryota; Viridiplantae; Streptophyta; Magnoliopsida; Arecales; Arecaceae
Description: long non-coding RNA (PDAC_LNC017037)
Source: RNAcentral
UAACUCAUAUUUAUAUCGAGUAAACUGGUUCUAAUACAAAUACGUGCGUAUCGUUCUGUCUUUUUUUUCUCCUUCACGGAAAGCAUCAUUUUUUUUUCAGAAGUUUUUUGGUGUCAGCUUUGAACUAAAUAAUUAAGAAUCUGUCGCUUUUUUUCAGAGAGAAUCUGUCACCUUUUGCCUUAAAGCGGAAGUGGUUGCCAUUAGAUGCAUGAACUGCACUGUCCCACAACCUGAAUUCCUCGACUCUUGCUGCGAUGGCACGCCUGAUGUAAUCCACAGACCCAUCUCGGCAUUCAAAACAUUGAAGAUUGCGUCCAGUAAUUGGAUUGUGAAGGCCCCACCAUGAUCGCGACUUCCGUGGAAAAAAUAAAAACGAGUGGAAACGCAGAUGCUGCUGCUUUUCUCUCGAGUUGUUGGUCGGUCUUUUGCUUAACAGUAGAGAACUGCUUCCUGUUAGUCUUGGAGGGGUCAGCACUCACUUUCUUCCUUGAAAUUAUUGAUGAGCAGAGAGUUUGGGGCAAUUCUCUAAGAAACAAAACUUAUUUGAUUUCUUUUUUUUUUUAAAUUUUCAUAUUUGUUUGGGGUAACCAGUCUUACAUGCAUGUGUAUAUGACCAAGCCGCAAGCCGCAGCAGGGUGGUCAUGCAGCUAGUAGUGUCUUAGCAUUGUUCACCCAUGAACAUGUACAAAUUUUUACGUAUAAGUAGCUGCAUACCAAUCUCCAACUACUAUAGUUUGGUUGCAAG